UUCCUUUCCUCUCCCUCACGCACUCGAGCCGCAUCCCCUCCUCACCCGACGCCAUCUUCCCCGUGCCCUAACUACGGCGGUUUCACUGCUCCUCGCGAUUUAAGCGUGGCCGAGCAUAUCCCUCUUCUUCUUCCCUAUUUCGCCGCUCCUCACCGUGCCCUAAUUCCCGAUCUCACGUUUCCUCUUUUUCGUGAAGCCGAGCCACUCUCUAGCGCCGAGUAGCAUCACCGCCGACCACUGUCACCCUUGUGCGCCGACCACCGCCUUGUUCUUUGCUUGAAGCCGACGGCUACGGUUUGAUCUCUCCGGCAACCAUUUUUGGUUGCUGUCCUUGCUAUUUCCUAGCGCCGGCAGCCGGCGCACCAGGUGCCCUAGCACCCUCUGUGUAUCACAGCGACGCCACCUUUUGCUCUAGCAGUGAUACUUAAGAUCAGAGUUUGGAUAUUCUUCUCUGUUCUUGAUCAUCCCUUCCUUGAGGUGCAUUUAAGUCACGGUUGAGGAACAGUGAACUCUUUCUUCACAUAUCACAGGGGAGUGUUUUGCUGUCCUGCUGCUAUAUUAGAGGUUGAUGCUGUCAGGAGAGAGUUCCAGUUGCUAGUCCCCUGCAAUCCACGAGGAUGCGUUAAUCUUAUGGUUUUCUUUAUUAAACUGUAUUUAGACUUGUUACGUUUUGAUACUUGGUUCUUGUGUAU
Molecule: long non-coding RNA, 692 nt
Organism: Zingiber officinale
Lineage: Eukaryota; Viridiplantae; Streptophyta; Magnoliopsida; Zingiberales; Zingiberaceae
Exons: 4
Source: RefSeq, a predicted model, not a curated record